RNAcentral lists this ribosomal RNA (434 nucleotides) under uncultured Lachnospiraceae bacterium. RNAcentral's name for it is "bacterial SSU rRNA". It matches the Rfam family "Bacterial small subunit ribosomal RNA", at positions 341 to 792 of the family's 1533-position model. The record is from RNAcentral. Lineage: Bacteria; Bacillati; Bacillota; Clostridia; Lachnospirales; Lachnospiraceae.
ACGGGAGGCAGCAGUGGGGAAUAUUGCACAAUGGGGGAAACCCUGAUGCAGCGACGCCGCGUGAGUGAAGAAGUUAUUCGUAAUGUAAAGCUCUAUCAGCAGGGAAGAAAAUGACGGUACCUGACUAAGAAGCCCCGGCUAACUACGUGCCAGCAGCCGCGGUAAUACGUAGGGGGCAAGCGUUAUCCGGAUUUACUGGGUGUAAAGGGAGCGUAGGCUGUGGUCCAAGUCAGGGGUGAAAGCCCGGAGCUCAACUCCGGAACUGCCUUUGAUACUGGAUUGCUGGAAUACGGAUGCCGUGGGAGGAAUGAGUAGUGUAGCGGUGAAAUGCAUAGAUAUUACUCAGAACACCGAUUGCGAAGGCAUCUCACGAAUCCGUCAUUGACGCUGAGGCACGAAAGCGUGGGGAUCAAACAGGAUUAGAUACCCUGGUA